Molecule: long non-coding RNA, 270 nt
Filed under: Mytilus galloprovincialis (Mediterranean mussel)
Lineage: Eukaryota; Metazoa; Mollusca; Bivalvia; Mytilida; Mytilidae
Source: RNAcentral
AAGUCGAUCCCAAAUACUUAAGAUCUUUGCGCAAUCAGUUUCUUUGUUGAAUUAAUGAGACGAACAUUGAACUCUUAUAAAAAAAAUUAACCAAAGUUGGGAAAAAUCAUUAAAGGCAUGAAUUGACAUCUCAAAACUUGAGGACUUUUGUGGGAUUGUUGAGAAAAUUAAGGGGAGAUUAUUUAAACAUUAUUUAUUUACUUGUAUGUGUAUUUUUUUUUUUACUUCUUCAAGUAAAUAAAAAUAACUUGUACAAGUAGUACCCCUCAC